GAGGUGCUGAGUCGACUGCCUCAUCCUAGACAACCUCAUGGGUGGACCCCCCAUCACAUCCUCUGUUACCUCUCCCUCUAGUUCCAGAACCUCAAACCUAUUAUGCAGGAGCAUAUGGGGAGCCAAAAGCUUUCUGCCUAGUGGAGAGCAUGGCUAGAUUCGUUGUCUGGGAGGCAGCCUGUAGGCAGGUUCCUGACUCCAACCUCACCACAUCAGAACAUUGCUGCCACGUGGAGGACAAUGGCUCCUGGCAGCUGCUCCCUUGCUGGGCUACCCCUCAAUCAGUUGAAGCAAUUCCCUGCUUUGGCGUGAAAUGUGUCUGCUCCAGAGCCGAAUACCUCACUGAAAAAUCAGAGAUGCUGAGAUGAAUGUACUUCACAUAUAAAGAAGUGCAGCUUGCAUGUGGAUAACUGCUUCUUCACACAUGAUUCAUCUGCUUGAAAACCAGCCCUGGUAGAAAUGGCAAUGAAUGAUGCUGUAGCACUAUAUUAAUAUUCAUUUGUCACUCAUUUAGGGUUGCUGGUGCAGUGGUGGAGGAAGCAUUGCAAAACCACUGGUAGAGACUUGUUAGAAGAAGUCAUAGCUCAAUUGACUAUGUGAACUUCAAAGAAAAGAUAACAUGUAAAUACUGAAAAGAUAAAUUUUUUCUGCUUGGUAAUCAGGGUGAGACAUACAAGAUCAACAACAUUCAUCUGAUAAUAGGAAAAUUCAGCAGACUGUGUGAAGUACUGUACAGAUAUUAAACCUACUGCACUCACUAAAGGACUUGGUUAAAAUUCAUUGAUCACCUAAUUUCUGGAGAAAAGAAACAACUAGCUAGUAGUAAAUUGAACAGAUCAUAAAAGAGCUUGACAAUCUGCCAUAAAAGAAUUUUAAAGAAUUAUACCCACGGAAACAAGGGAUAUAUAAAACAAAGCAGAGAAUUUUAAAUUGCCACAGCUUGCUGGUUCUGCAUGACCCAAUAUCCUGGCUUGUGACAAAAGAUUCUCUUUAAUCUCGGUGUCUCAGGUGCGGAAUCCAUCUGUUGAUACCAAUUACAGAAGAUCACCAAAAGUCUUUACUAGAUGUAAUUUCAGUUUAUCAGUCACAUUAUACUUACCACGUAGAGGAAAAAUGAUGCUAAUUUUCCAAUUCAAAAUGCGCAUUUUGGAUGUAUUACUCUUACAACACAAGAAAAUCCUUUUUUAGAUUAUUUUAAAUUACGUUUAUCUCCCUUAAUAACACUAGCAGCAGUAUGCUAAGAAUGCCAAGGUGGAAGACACUAGUCUGUGUGUCAAACUGUGGUUAGUAUGGAAGACAGCAACACAGUAAAUAAACAAGUGAUUAUGCAACUCUCAGCUCUGUUAAAAG
Molecule: non-coding RNA, 1350 nt
Organism: Meleagris gallopavo (turkey)
Lineage: Eukaryota; Metazoa; Chordata; Aves; Galliformes; Phasianidae
Source: RefSeq, a predicted model, not a curated record